Molecule: long non-coding RNA, 1116 nt
Filed under: Struthio camelus australis
Lineage: Eukaryota; Metazoa; Chordata; Aves; Struthioniformes; Struthionidae
Description: lncRNA (ENSSCUG00000002515.1)
Source: RNAcentral
GUCAACUUCCCUUUGUGCUGUAGCGAAGGGCUCUUCUUUUAAUUGCUUUCAGCACGCAGCACAAGGAUGGCUUUGUGAACCCCACUUUCCUGCACUGCAGGGACAGGUUUGAUAAGAAUAUGUCAAAAGAUGUGGACUCUGCAUUUUACAAAUGCAGACAGAAACUGGUGAACUUACUGAACACACGCAUCUAGAACUGAGUCGUGGCAUUCAGUGACCAUCUCGAGCAAGCCUUUGCUGGGCAGAGGGCAAUCUGUAUUCCCCUCUGAAGUCCAGAAGAGCUUUUACGGCAGCAGAGACAUGACUGUGACGAGAGCCUGGUGAGCCUGCCCAGAGAUUGUGGAGGGUUGAGGAGCGUGUCCAAUCCCACCGGAGCCCAGCACCCAGGACAGCCUGAUGGAUUCUCUCCCCUUUGCGCAUUUAUGUUUCCUGCUUCUGACCGUUUCAUCUCCCUUUCUAAAUACUGCCACGUCCAGUGGUGACUCUGCUGAGGGGACAAAAGGCUCUUCCUUUAGCAGCACAAAAGUGACAGCCUACGACUGCAAGCAUUGUGGUGUCAGCGUAUGCGAGUUAUCCAAUUUCAGUUGCUGUACCAUAAUUGGUGAAACACAAGACGAGACGUUUUCAAAUGAAGUAAUUCAGCUGGUGACCAAUGAAACGCACAUCACUAUGUGUUUUCAGCAAGCAAAUACUUUUUCGGAACAAAUUUACGCCAUCAUCUGGGCAAAAGCUGGGGGAAUAGGAGAUUCAUGUGGCAUCCUGAAGGCUGAAGGUUACAUGUCAUCUUCAGUCAGCAAACAAGGCACCAUUGGCAUCAGCACUACGUUUGUGUCUCUUGUGGCAUGUCUUGUAGGUCUGGCGUAUUGUGUUCUAAAAAACCGAACCCGUGAAGGUAAAAAUAAUGGAAUUGUUGAACAAUCACCACAUUCUCUCAGUGUUCAGCAAGACCAAUCUAUCAGCAUUACUUGCUCACUGAAAAGCUCACAUGAAGAAGAAGGGGUCUUCUUGCUCAGGACUCAUAUGAAAGCUGAUAUUUCUCAAAGCAAAAUAUUUCAACUAUCUUUCCUGCUUUUGCAAAUCGCUUGGAGUACUCAAAGCAAGAGAAGACAUUGGUGA